UUUUGGCCUUGCUGAUCCACUCAUCCAUCAGGGCCACUUCUCCAGUGCUGCAUUAAUGGAGAUGGCAUGCUGGGGGACAGGGCAAGGACACCAGGCUUUCUGUGUGGUGGGGAGGACUGGGAGGAGAGCAAUACUGGGAUGUGUUUGAAAAGGUGACCUUGGUGUAUCUACACAGAGACACAGAAGACGUUGCAGCAGAGGGAGAUCUGACUCCAACAUCUGUGACGGAAAGCAAAGACCAACAAGUCCUAUCUGGAAACUGGUUUGUUGAUGAGUCAGGUGCUGAAGCAAUGACAACAAAACAUAUCCCGUGCGGACCUUGUGUAGAUGUUUUGUGGAUGCAAGGAAUGCAAGACUGGACUUUUGUCAAAAUGAAGUUUAUAUACACGGUUCUAGAAAGAGCAUCUCAAGGAUUAGGCCAUGGGUGCAAGACUCUACACUUGCUGUUUUUGAAUCUCAUCAGGUUCCUCUCUGCCCAGCUCUCCAGCCUGUCCAGGUCUCGCUGAAUGGCAGCACAGCUUUCUGGUGUGUCAGUCACUCCUUCCAGCUUUGUAUCAUUGGCAUAUUUGUUGAGGGGGGGACUCUAUUCCUUUGUCCAGGUCAUUGGUGAAGAUAUUGGACAAUAAAAAUAAAUAGCAAAAUAUUAUUGGAAAUUAAUCCAUUUCAUUCAUCAAAGUCUACAAGAUAAGUGAUAAAGUCAAUUCCUGGUGUAACUUUCCUGUGAGACGCACCAGCCCUGCAGCAGGACGGUAUACACCGAGUACUAUCCUGUAAUGUAGAGAAGACAGCUUAACCAUGAGAAAUCUACCAGAGUUCCUGGAUAGUUUUUGAACAGAACUGAGGAAACAUCUGGUAUUUAAUUAAGAUUUAGCUCAUGGUUAAAGACACCAAACUGGCAAUUGUUUUAACACAUUAAGAUACUGCUGUAGAGACAGGAGGGGGGAAUCCACUCCUCAGAACAGCACUGAGAAGGAAUAGAAGACUUUGCAUACCAUUACAGCCUGUCCUUCCAUUUUAUGUCCUACCCAGACUGACCAAAGAAAGAAAUCUCUUUGCUCCCCACAUCCCUUCAUUGCUCUUCCAAGGGAAGCCAUGGUGACUGAACCUCAUGAAUUUUCCAUGAUCUGAAUUUUUGUGUAGACCUCUUAGUGCCAGGAGUUAGACGCGUUGAUCUGUAUGUGUCCCUUCCACCUCGGGAUAUUCUAUGAUUUCAUGACUCUAUGAUACCAAUUGGGCCUCCCAGAAGCAUGAAGAUGAGGCUCGUUUGGUGCUGUGCCAGUUUUUGCCAUAAAAGUUAGAGGAAAUGCUCCCUCAGUUUUACUGAAAGAAGGUGCAGAUACUAUUAAUGCUUACACAUUGAAAUAAAUGGUCAAUAUUUCACUGAAAGAUUGUUUUUACGAAGAACUUAUGAUGUAAAAGGCCUUGUGUUAAAUCAUACAUUAAAAUAAAGCUUGCAUACAGUUCCCAUUUAUUAUGGUAAAAUUGUGACAGAUGGAAAAACAUUAUUUCAUCAGAGAUUACAUUAAUGCAAUGUGUAUUUUUUUCAGUGACAGUAUGCUUGUACACUUACUUGAUGGAUGGAAGGCAUUUAUUUAUAGCUGGCACAUAACUACACAACUAUUUACAUAUCUAACUGCCAUUGACAUGUCAAAAUACUAUUGUGUUUUUCUUUUGUGGUACAACUAGAACUUUCCCCA
This is a long non-coding RNA of Anas platyrhynchos (mallard), 1697 nucleotides long. RefSeq lists it as uncharacterized. Lineage: Eukaryota; Metazoa; Chordata; Aves; Anseriformes; Anatidae. The record is from RefSeq and is a predicted model, not a curated record.